UUAAAACAGCCCCAAUUAAACCCUUCUCUUUCCAUUUCUCCCUCUUUCCCUCUCACAUUUUUGAGGUCCCUCUCUCUCUAAACCUAAUACACCAUCGACGUCACCAAGUGUAGGGAGUCACCGUCGCCAUCGUCCACACCUAGUACCGCCGUUGCCAUCACCAGUUAUCAUCAACAUUUGAGGAAAAAUGUGUCUGGCGCCCGGAACAUGAGACGCAGCUAGCUCAAAACUUCAAGAAGAAAGCUCAGCGCUUACUAUGUUUGAAUGUUAAUGUUGUGGUGGAUUUGUGGAUUGUGUAAGUGUUUUGUGGAUGUUUGCGAGCGGUGAAAAUGUUGUAGACUAACUUAGUCUAAUGUUGUAGACUAAUUUAGUGUAGAUCUACUAGUUUAAUGUUUUGUGGAUGUUUGCAAAGGUUGUGAAGUAGUUUAAUGUUGUGUAGAUGUUUGCGAAAGUUGAAGUAGCUUAAUGUCUCUUCAGAAUGUUUGAAGGACGUUUUGAUUCAACUUUGAAGUAGUUUCGAAUUGAAUUUGACGUAUUGUUGAUUGUAAUAUAUGUGGUUGUUGAAGUAA
This is a long non-coding RNA of Lycium barbarum (goji berry), 569 nucleotides long. RefSeq lists it as uncharacterized. Lineage: Eukaryota; Viridiplantae; Streptophyta; Magnoliopsida; Solanales; Solanaceae. The transcript has 2 exons. The record is from RefSeq and is a predicted model, not a curated record.